CCGAUUAUUGUUAUAGUUCAUACUUCACUCUAAAAUGACUAUCGUUUUCCAGUUUGGUUUAGGGUAUACUACAAGCCCUGUUGUAUCUUAUGAAAUGCCUUUAUUAACCACUGGUUUUCAUGUGAUGAGUAAGAACAACUGUUCCAUUGCUUGAUUUGGCAGCAGGAGCUUGGCCGGAGCAAGAAAUAGCUGCAUAAUCUUCAAGAAUGCAGAUCAGCAUUUUGGGACCUACCCAAGAAAUUGAGAGCCUUGGGGAGAAUGGUCACCCUCAGUCCUCACAAAAUGACUUGGAUUCUGGUACAACAUCAAAAUGCUUUAAUUGCCAAAAGUCUUUGUUGUUUGGAAUUGAGUCAGUCAUCAAUAACCUUGGGGGUCC
RNAcentral lists this long non-coding RNA (376 nucleotides) under Actinidia chinensis (golden kiwifruit). RNAcentral describes it as "long non-coding RNA (ACHI_LNC000801)". Lineage: Eukaryota; Viridiplantae; Streptophyta; Magnoliopsida; Ericales; Actinidiaceae. The record is from RNAcentral.